GUGUCAGCAGCCGCGGUAAUACAGAGGGUGCGAGCGUUAAUCGGAAUUACUGGGCGUAAAGCGCGCGUAGGCGGUCUUGUAAGUCGGGUGUGAAAGCCCCGGGCUCAACCUGGGAACUGCAUUCGAGACUGCAAGACUGGAGUAUUGGAGAGGGCAGCGGAAUUUCCGGUGUAGCGGUGAAAUGCGUAGAUAUCGGAAGGAACAUCAGUGGCGAAAGCGGCUGCCUGGCCAAAUACUGACGCUCAUGUGCGAAAGCGUGGGGAGCAAACAGGAUUAGAAACCCCCGUAGUCC
RNAcentral lists this ribosomal RNA (292 nucleotides) under uncultured bacterium. Its description in RNAcentral is "partial 16S ribosomal RNA". It matches the Rfam family "Bacterial small subunit ribosomal RNA", at positions 505 to 796 of the family's 1533-position model. The record is from RNAcentral.